GCCCUUGUAGCUCAGCCGGUAGAGCAACGGUUUUGUAAACCGAAGGUCGCGGGUUCAAAUCCUGCCGGGGGCACCA
RNAcentral lists this transfer RNA (76 nucleotides) under Azoarcus sp. RNAcentral describes it as "tRNA-Thr". It matches the Rfam family "tRNA". From Rfam's summary of the family: Transfer RNA (tRNA) molecules are approximately 80 nucleotides in length. Their secondary structure includes four short double-helical elements and three loops (D, anti-codon, and T loops). Lineage: Bacteria; Pseudomonadati; Pseudomonadota; Betaproteobacteria; Rhodocyclales; Zoogloeaceae. The record is from RNAcentral.